RNAcentral lists this transfer RNA (72 nucleotides) under Mustela putorius furo (domestic ferret). It matches the Rfam family "tRNA". From Rfam's summary of the family: Transfer RNA (tRNA) molecules are approximately 80 nucleotides in length. Their secondary structure includes four short double-helical elements and three loops (D, anti-codon, and T loops). The record is from Rfam by way of RNAcentral. Lineage: Eukaryota; Metazoa; Chordata; Mammalia; Carnivora; Mustelidae.
ACCCAGCUGGCUCAGUUGGUAGAGCAUACAACUCUUGAUCUGGGGGUUGUAGGUCAAGCCCUAUGUUGGGUG